This 253-nucleotide ribosomal RNA is filed under the name uncultured bacterium. RNAcentral describes it as "partial 16S ribosomal RNA". It matches the Rfam family "Bacterial small subunit ribosomal RNA", at positions 524 to 776 of the family's 1533-position model. The record is from RNAcentral.
UACGGAGGGUGCGAGCGUUGUCCGGAAUCACUGGGCGUAAAGGGCGCGUAGGCGGCAUGCCAAGCGUGUGGUGAAAGCCCGGGGCUCAACCCCGGGUCGGCCGUGCGGACUGGCGUGCUUGAGCACUGUAGGGGCGGGUGGAAUUCCGGGUGUAGCGGUGGAAUGCGUAGAGAUGGGGGAGAACACUCGUGGCGAAGGCGGCCAGCUAGACCAGUUCUGACACUGAGGCGCGACAGCGUGGGGAGCAAACAGG